RNAcentral lists this unclassified non-coding RNA (231 nucleotides) under Hevea brasiliensis (rubber tree). Lineage: Eukaryota; Viridiplantae; Streptophyta; Magnoliopsida; Malpighiales; Euphorbiaceae. The record is from RNAcentral.
GUUGGCAUCAGUGGUACCCCUCCACUUUGUUUGUGCCUGUCCUAAAGGUUUUGAGCCGGAUAAGAAUACAGUUGAAAAGGCCCGACAAGCUGGAGUUAGCAAGAUUGAGAUUACCAAUGAUCCCAAGGAAGCAGUGAAAGGCGCUGAUGUUGUGUACUCGGAUGUCUGGGCCAGCAUGGGACAAAAAGAGGAGGCUGAAUAUCGGCGUCAAGUGUUUCAAGGCUUCCAGGU